GCGGAAGGGAUAAGUGCUGAAAGCAUCUAAGCAUGAAGCCCCCCUCAAGAUGAGAUUUCCCAUAGCGUAAGCUAGUAAGAUCCCUGAAAGAUGAUCAGGUUGAUAGGUUCGAGGUGGAAGCAUGGUGACAUGUGGAGCUGACGAAUACUAAUAGAUCGAGGACUUAACCAUAUAA
Molecule: ribosomal RNA, 175 nt
Filed under: Bacillus thuringiensis
Lineage: Bacteria; Bacillati; Bacillota; Bacilli; Caryophanales; Bacillaceae
Description: partial 23S ribosomal RNA
Rfam family: Bacterial large subunit ribosomal RNA
Source: RNAcentral